UGGAAAGGAACUGAGAUGGCCAAAGA
Molecule: non-coding RNA, 26 nt
Filed under: Macaca fascicularis (crab-eating macaque)
Lineage: Eukaryota; Metazoa; Chordata; Mammalia; Primates; Cercopithecidae
Also listed under: 1 other name
Source: RNAcentral